GAUGAACGCUGGCGGCGUGCCUAAUACAUGCAAGUCGAACGAGAGUACUUGUACUCUAGUGGCGAACGGGUGAGUAACACGUAGGUAACCUGCCCCAAUGACGAGGAUAACAGUUGGAAACGAUUGCUAAUACUCGAUAGGUAAUAAUAAGGCAUCUUGUUAUUAUUAAAGAUCCGAAUGGAUUACAUUGGGAAGGGCCUGCGCUGCAUUAGUUAGUUGGUGAGGUAAGAG
RNAcentral lists this ribosomal RNA (231 nucleotides) under uncultured bacterium. Its description in RNAcentral is "partial 16S ribosomal RNA". It matches the Rfam family "Bacterial small subunit ribosomal RNA", at positions 28 to 263 of the family's 1533-position model. The record is from RNAcentral.